Molecule: ribosomal RNA, 487 nt
Filed under: uncultured Pseudomonas sp.
Lineage: Bacteria; Pseudomonadati; Pseudomonadota; Gammaproteobacteria; Pseudomonadales; Pseudomonadaceae
Description: bacterial SSU rRNA
Rfam family: Bacterial small subunit ribosomal RNA
Source: RNAcentral
AACUUCAAGGAAUUGGACGGGGGCCCGCACAAGCGGAGGAACAUGUGGUUUAAUUCGAUGAUACGCGAGGAACCUUACCUGGGCUAGAACGCAAUCGGAAUCAGGCCGAAAGGUCUGCGCCAGCGAUGGCCGGUUGCGAGGUGCUGCAUGGUUGUCGUCAGCUCGUGCCGUGAGGUCCGUCGGGUUAAGUCCCGUAACGAGCGCAACCCUUGUCCUUAGUUACCAGCACGUUAUGGUGGGCACUCUAAGGAGACUGCCGGUGACAAACCGGAGGAAGGUGGGGAUGACGUCAAGUCAUCAUGGCCCUUACGGCCUGGGCUACACACGUGCUACAAUGGUCGGUACAAAGGGUUGCCAAGCCGCGAGGUGGAGCUAAUCCCAUAAAACCGAUCGUAGUCCGGAUCGCAGUCUGCAACUCGACUGCGUGAAGUCGGAAUCGCUAGUAAUCGUGAAUCAGAAUGUCACGGUGAAUACGUUCCCGGGCCUU